Sphaerobolus stellatus SS14 is the source of this 84-nucleotide transfer RNA. It matches the Rfam family "tRNA". Rfam says of the family: Transfer RNA (tRNA) molecules are approximately 80 nucleotides in length. The record is from Rfam. Lineage: Eukaryota; Fungi; Basidiomycota; Agaricomycetes; Geastrales; Sphaerobolaceae.
GUCUGGGUAGCUCAGCUGGAAGAGCGUCAGACUGUAAUGGAUACCGCCAGCUGAAUGUUGCUGGUUCGAUCCCGGCUCUGGAGA